GGUUGGAUGGCUGAGGUUAUAGGCAAUAAAUUGUAAAUUUAUUAACGAAUUAGAUUCUUCAACCA
RNAcentral lists this transfer RNA (65 nucleotides) under Hycleus chodschenticus. RNAcentral describes it as "tRNA-Tyr". It matches the Rfam family "tRNA". Rfam says of the family: Transfer RNA (tRNA) molecules are approximately 80 nucleotides in length. Lineage: Eukaryota; Metazoa; Arthropoda; Insecta; Coleoptera; Meloidae. The record is from RNAcentral.